Molecule: RNA transcript, 2564 nt
Organism: Cebus imitator (Panamanian white-faced capuchin)
Lineage: Eukaryota; Metazoa; Chordata; Mammalia; Primates; Cebidae
Gene: TINF2
Gene name: TERF1 interacting nuclear factor 2
Exons: 7
Source: RefSeq, a predicted model, not a curated record
GCAUUUUAUUUUAAGGGCGGGGCGCCCUCUUCCGUUUUAUAAAAGAAACAGUCGAAUUCCUACUGGAGCCGAUGCGCGCCGGCUCUGUAGACGCCGGUUCAAGGGACUUGAACUGAAUUUCGAUGGGUGAAGACAGUGGGAAGAGGCGGUGGCAUGAUCCUCGUUUUACAGACCAGGAAGUCGAGCCUCACGGGAGUGACGUGGCUUCUCUGCUGGCUCAACGAGGAAAGCGGGAUAGGGAAGACUCAGACGGGCGGGCCCACACAGACUCAGCGGCCAACUCAAGUCGGCCGGUAGAGGGCGCAGGGCUCUGUAAGCUCCAGCUCCGCCGCGGCGUGGCCUUCUGACGCGCCGUCACACUUCCAUCUGUGGCUGCCCAUUGGCCGCCUCUUACCGCCCUUUUCCGGGGCAAGAGUAGCUAGUUGCGGAGCCGGAAAUAAGGCACCCUCGGGCUCGAGACAGCGGCGGCGUUUAAAGGUGGGCGACCUGCUGCCGUUGGAGACAGCCAGCUUCGCCACUCAGGCUCCUCCAGCCCGAGCAGAAGCCCCCCCCCCCCCCCGCAGAACUCUGGGUGCUUACGGAAGGGAGCCCAGCCGGACCGCAAGGUACCCAGAGCCGGCUGAUCCGAGCCACAGAGUGUUGCCAGAAGCCCCGCCCCUAGGAGUGAUCGGGAAGCCUCACUCAUCCGGGUGAGGAACCUGGAGGGACCGCCUCAGGGCGGAGCCCGCCGGCCAUGGCUACGCCCCCGGGGGCCGGUCCUGCAGCUCUGCGCUUCGCCGCCGCCGCUAGCUGGCGGGUAGUGCGCGGCCGCUGUGUGGAGCAUUUUCCGCGAGUACUGGAGUUUCUGCAAUCUCUGCGCGCUGUUGCCCCUGGCUUGGUUCGCUACCGGCACCACGAACGCCUUUGUAUGGGCCUAAAGGCCAAGGUGGUGGUGGAGCUGAUCCUGCAGGGCCGGCCUUGGGCCCAAGUCCUGACUGCCCUGAAUCACCACUUUCCAGAAUCUGGACCUGUAGUGCGGGACCCCAAGGCUACAAAGCAUGAUCUGAGGAAGAUUUUGGAGGCACAGGAAACUUUUUGUCAGCAGGUGAAGCAGCUAUCAGAUGCUCCUGUGGAUUUGGCCUCGAAGCUGCAGGAACUUGAACAAGAGUAUGGGGAACCCUUUCUGGCUGCAAUGGAAAAGCUGCUUUUUGAAUACUUCUGUCAGCUAGAGAAAGCACUGCCUACACCGCAGGCACAGCAGCUUCAGGAUGUGUUGAGUUGGAUGCAGCCUGGAGUCUCUGUCACCUCUUCUCUUGCCUGGAGCCAAUAUGGUGUGGACAUGGGGUGGCCACUUCCAGAGUGCUCUAUUACUGACUCAAUGAACCUGGCUGAGCCCAUGGAACAGAAUCCUCCUCAGCAACAAAGACUAGCACUCCACAAUCCUCUGCCCAAGGCAAAGCCUGGCCCAUAUCUUCCUCAGGGACCAUCUUCAAGGACACACCCAGAACCUCUAGCUGGCCACCACUUCAAUCUGGCCCCUCUAGGCCAACGAAGAGUACACUCCCAAUGGGUGUCUGCUAGGGGAGGCCAUAAGGAGCGCCCCACAGUCAUGCUGUUUCCCUUUAGGAAUCUGGGCUCAGCAACCCAGCGCGCAUCUAAGCCUGAGAGCAAGGAAGAACAUGCGAUAUGCACAGCAGACCUAGCCAUGAGCACAAGAGCAGCCCCCACUGGGAAGUCUAAGAGUCCAAGCCAUACCCUGAGGGGAAGGGCUCUGAAGGAGAACCCAGUUGACUUGCCUGCCACAGAGCAAAAGGAGUGAGUGGAACAGAGUUAAUUCUCCUUACUAGGAGCACAUUCUUUGCCUGCCUUCCUUUCACCCUAUCCUCUUUGCUUGCUCUCACCUCAGGAAUUGCUUGGAUUGCUACAUGGACCCCCUAUCAUUAUUACCUCCUAGGGCCAGGAAGCCAGGUAGGUAGUCUGAGUCAGGAUUGGAUAACAGCCUCCUCUCUUGGGGACUCUCAAGAGCCUGUGUUCAUCUAGAGGUAGUAGUUUGAUUCUGGUUUCCCUCCUACAGUGUGUACUCCAUCUCUGUGCAGCUCCGUCAUUACCAUAGGGGACUUGGUUUUAGACUCUGAUGAGGAAGAAAAUGGCCAGGGGGAAGGAAAGGUGAGUAGGAAGGAGCAGAAAGCUGGGGAAGUGGAUGGGCAGAACAGGACUAAGAAAUCCACAUGCUUCAGAAUUCAGAGGGCUCAGGCAAUUGUUUCAUUUGGUGGGAUCUGCCUGCUCCCUUCUCUACAGGAGUCUCUGGAAAACUAUCAGAAGACAAAGUUUGACACCCUGAUCCCCACUUUCUAUGAAUACCUCCCCUCUUCUGGCUACAGUGCCAUGCCUUCCUAUGACUGUAGAGACAGCUGUAAACCCCUGUGAUAGAACUAAAGUGCCCUCUGUAUUCUGCCUGUCUCCUGCCUCCUCAGCUCUGCAAGUAGUUUAGUAGGAAUGAAGUGGAAGUCCAGGCUUGGAUUGCCUGACUAAACUGCUAAAAAUACUUUGUAAUGCUUAAUAAUUAAACUUUGGAUUUGUUAAAA